ACUCAAAUGAAUUGACGGGGGCCCGCACAAGCAGCGGAGCGUGUGGUUUAAUUCGAUGCAACGCGCAGAACCUUACCCAGACUUGACAUGCCCUGGAAAGCCGUGGAAACACGGCCCCCGCAAGGCCGGGGCACAGAUGUUGCAUGGCUGUCGUCAGCUCGUGUCGUGAGAUGUUGGGUUAAGUCCCGCAACGAGCGCAACCCUCGUGUGGUGUUGCAAAUCACCACAGACUGCCGGUACAAGCCGGAGGAAGGUGGGGAUGAUGUCAAGUCCGCAUGGCUCUUACGUCUGGGGCGACACACACGCUACAAUGGCCGGGACAGAGGGAGGCGACGGGGCGACCCGGAGCGGACCCCAAAACCCGGUCUCAGUUCGGAUGGCAGGCUGCAACCCGCCUGCCUGAAGUCGGAGUUGCUAGUAACCGCGUGUCAGCAUAGCGCGGUGAAUAUGUUCCCGGGCCUUGUACACACCGCCCGU
RNAcentral lists this ribosomal RNA (477 nucleotides) under uncultured bacterium. RNAcentral describes it as "partial 16S ribosomal RNA". It matches the Rfam family "Bacterial small subunit ribosomal RNA", at positions 899 to 1397 of the family's 1533-position model. The record is from RNAcentral.